This 499-nucleotide ribosomal RNA is filed under the name uncultured bacterium. RNAcentral describes it as "partial 16S ribosomal RNA". It matches the Rfam family "Bacterial small subunit ribosomal RNA", at positions 28 to 507 of the family's 1533-position model. The record is from RNAcentral.
GACGAACGCUGGCGGCGUGCCUAAUACAUGCAAGUCGAGCGAAGUUUUUCUGGUGCUUGCACUAGAAAAACUUAGCGGCGAACGGGUGAGUAACACGUAAAGAACCUGCCUCAUAGACUGGGACAACUAUUGGAAACGAUAGCUAAUACCGGAUAACAGUAUUUCUCGCAUGAGAGAGAUUUAAAAGUUGGUUAUGCUAACACUAUGAGAUGGCUUUGCGGUGCAUUAGCUAGUUGGUGGGGUAAAGGCCCACCAAGGCGACGAUGCAUAGCCGACCUGAGAGGGUGACCGGCCACACUGGGACUGAGACACGGCCCAGACUCCUACGGGAGGCAGCAGUAGGGAAUUUUCCGCAAUGGGCGAAAGCCUGACGGAGCAACGCCGCGUGAGUGAAGAAGGAUUUCGGUUCGUAAAGCUCUGUUGUUAGGGAAGAAUGGAUAUGUAGUAACACUACAUGUCAGAGACGGUACCUAACCAGAAAGCCACGGCUAACUACGUG